AUUGAACGCUGGCGGCAUGCUUUACACAUGCAAGUCGAACGGUAACAGGCCUUCGGGUGCUGACGAGUGGCGAACGGGUGAGAAAUGCAUCGGAACGUACCCAGAGGUGGGGGAUAACGCAGCGAAAGCUGUGCUAAUACUGCAUGUGAUCUGAGGAUGAAAGCGGGGGACCGAGCAGCAAUGUUUGGCCUCGCGCCUUUGGAGCGGCCGAUGUCGGAUUAGCUAGUUGGUGGGGUAAAGGCCUACCAAGGCGACGAUCCGUAGCUGGUCUGAGAGGACGACCAGCCACACUGGGACUGAGACACGGCCCAGACUCCUACGGGAGGCAGCAGUGGGGAAUUUUGGACAAUGGGCGCAAGCCUGAUCCAGCAAUGCCGCGUGCGGGAAGAAGGCCUUCGGGUUGUAAACCGCUUUUGGCAGGAACGAAACGGUGUCCGCUAAUACCGGGCGCUAAUGACGGUACCUGCAGAAUAAGCACCGGCUAACUACGUG
Molecule: ribosomal RNA, 492 nt
Filed under: uncultured bacterium
Lineage: Bacteria
Description: partial 16S ribosomal RNA
Rfam family: Bacterial small subunit ribosomal RNA
Source: RNAcentral